RNAcentral lists this ribosomal RNA (428 nucleotides) under uncultured Alphaproteobacteria bacterium. RNAcentral's name for it is "bacterial SSU rRNA". It matches the Rfam family "Bacterial small subunit ribosomal RNA", at positions 483 to 911 of the family's 1533-position model. Lineage: Bacteria; Pseudomonadati; Pseudomonadota; Alphaproteobacteria. The record is from RNAcentral.
UGAAUAAGCACCGGCUAACUCCGUGCCAGCAGCCGCGGUAAUACGGAGGGAGCUAGCGUUGUCCGGAAUUACUGGGCGUAAAGAGUAUGUAGGCGGUUAUUCAAGUCAGAGGUGAAAGCCUGGAGCUCAACUCCAGAACUGCCUUUGAAACUAGAUAGCUAGAAUCUUGGAGAGGUGAGUGGAAUUCCGAGUGUAGAGGUGAAAUUCGUAGAUAUUCGGAAGAACACCAGUGGCGAAGGCGACUCACUGGACAAGUAUUGACGCUGAGGUACGAAAGCGUGGGGAGCAAACAGGAUUAGAUACCCUGGUAGUCCACGCCGUAAACGAUGAUAACUAGCUGUUCGGGCUCUACGAGCUUGAGUGGCGCACUAACGCAUUAAGUUAUCCGCCUGGGGAGUACGGUCGCAAGAUUAAAACUCAAAUGAAUU